This is a small nuclear RNA of Microtus ochrogaster (prairie vole), 107 nucleotides long. NCBI's taxonomy places the organism in Eukaryota, Metazoa, Chordata, Mammalia, Rodentia, Cricetidae. The record is from Ensembl.
GUGCUCACUUCGACAGCACAUAUGCUAGAACUGGAAUGAUACAGAGAAGAUUAGCGUGGCCCCUGUGCAAGGAUGACAUGCGAAUUCCUGAAGCAUUACAUAUUUUU